This 485-nucleotide ribosomal RNA is filed under the name uncultured bacterium. RNAcentral's name for it is "bacterial SSU rRNA". It matches the Rfam family "Bacterial small subunit ribosomal RNA", at positions 8 to 526 of the family's 1533-position model. The record is from RNAcentral.
AGAGUUUGAUCAUGGCUCAGGAUGAACGCUGGCGGCGUGCCUAACACAUGCAAGUCGAACGGUCGCAAGACAGUGGCGCACGGGUGAGUAACACGUAGCUGAUCUGCCCUCAAGUGCGGGAUAACGUCUGGAAACAGACGCUAAUACCGCAUAAGCCCCCGCGACUUAGAACGGCGGGUGAAAAGGUUUACCGCUUGAGGAGGAGGCUGCGGCCCAUCAGGUAGUUGGCGGGGUAACGGCCCACCAAGCCGACGACGGGUAGGGGGUCUGAGAGGAUGAUCCCCCACACUGGGACUGAGACACGGCCCAGACUCCUACGGGAGGCAGCAGUGAGGGAUAUUGCACAAUGGGCGCAAGCCUGAUGCAGCGACGCCGCGUGGGUGAUGAAGGUCUUCGGAUCGUAAAACCCUUUUCCCCGUGACGAGACAGGACGGUAGCGGGGGAAUAAGCCUCGGCUAACUACGUGCCAGCCGCCGCGGUAAUUC